UAAAACGUAGGAGGCGAGCGUUAUCCGGAUUUACUGGGCGUAAAGCGCGUGCAGGCGGUGCAGGAAGUCGUGUGUGAAAGCUCCCAGGCUUAACCGGGAGAGGCCAUGCGAAACUCCUGCGCUGGAGUCAAGGAGAGGUAAGCGGAAUUCCGGGUGUAGUGGUGAAAUGCGUAGAUAUCCGGAGGAACACCAGUGGCGAAGGCGGCUUACUGGCCUUGAACUGACGCUCAGACGCGACAGCAUGGGGAGCGAACGGGAUUAGAAACCCCGGUAGUCCAUGCCGUAAACGAUGCUCACUAGGCGUUAGCCCCGACAGGGGUUAGUGCCGAAGCCAACGCGAUAAGUGAGCCGCCUGGGGAGUACGACCGCAAGGUUA
Molecule: ribosomal RNA, 376 nt
Filed under: uncultured bacterium
Lineage: Bacteria
Description: bacterial SSU rRNA
Rfam family: Bacterial small subunit ribosomal RNA
Source: RNAcentral